Molecule: ribosomal RNA, 404 nt
Filed under: uncultured Pseudomonas sp.
Lineage: Bacteria; Pseudomonadati; Pseudomonadota; Gammaproteobacteria; Pseudomonadales; Pseudomonadaceae
Description: bacterial SSU rRNA
Rfam family: Bacterial small subunit ribosomal RNA
Source: RNAcentral
GCCUAACACAUGCAAGUCGAGCGGAUGAAAGGAGCUUGCUCCUGGAUUCAGCGGCGGACGGGUGAGUAAUGCCUAGGAAUCUGCCUGGUAGUGGGGGACAACGUUUCGAAAGGAACGCUAAUACCGCAUACGUCCUACGGGAGAAAGCAGGGGACCUUCGGGCCUUGCGCUAUCAGAUGAGCCUAGGUCGGAUUAGCUAGUUGGUGAGGUAAUGGCUCACCAAGGCGACGAUCCGUAACUGGUCUGAGAGGAUGAUCAGUCACACUGGAACUGAGACACGGUCCAGACUCCUACGGGAGGCAGCAGUGGGGAAUAUUGGACAAUGGGCGAAAGCCUGAUCCAGCCAUGCCGCGUGUGUGAAGAAGGUCUUCGGAUUGUAAAGCACUUUAAGUUGGGAGGAAGGG